Molecule: ribosomal RNA, 391 nt
Filed under: Mallomonas caudata
Lineage: Eukaryota; Synurophyceae; Synurales; Mallomonadaceae
Description: partial small subunit ribosomal RNA
Rfam family: Eukaryotic small subunit ribosomal RNA
Source: RNAcentral
GCUUGUCUCAAGAUUAAGCCAUGCAUGUCUUAGUGUAAAUAACUCUUAUGAAACUGCGAAUGGCUCAUUAAAUCAGUUAUCAAAUACGUGAUGGUCGCCUACUACAUGGAUAACCGUAGUAAUUCUAGAGCUAAUACAUGCAUCAAAGCCUGACUUCUGGAAGGGUUGUAUUUAUUAGAUGGAAACCAAUCGCGGGGCAACCCAGUAUCUGGUGAUUCAUAAUAACUUUCGGAUCGAUCUUCGGGUCGAUGCAUCAUUCAAGUUUCUGCCCUAUCAGCUUUGGAUGGUAGGGUAUUGGCCUACCAUGGCUUUAACGGGUAACGGAGAAUUAGGGUUCGAUUCCGGAGAGGGAGCCUUAAAAACGGCUACCACAUCCAAGGAAGGCAGCAGG